AGAGAAAGGAGGACUGACCCACAUGGCGUGCAGGGAUAAGAGGAUGGAGAAGUACUGGACUACUUUGCUUGCUGUAGGAACACAAACUGGUGAUGGAUUUUGAUCUGACUGGUAUGCAAGGAUGUCUACAUGUGUCUUUGCUGGAGAAGAGUUGUGGCUGAGAAGAAAUCAUUGUUUUGCCAACAAGAAUACUUGUCUAGUACAAACAGUUUCUGCAGUAGAGAAAAGUUUUUGCAGCCUCCCUGAAUUUUUAACAUAGCUGCAGCUUUUGCUCUUAAUAUAACAAGGCUUCCUAAAGUACAUGUUCUAAAUCACUAGCAGCUCAUUGCAAAUGCCAAAUAUUCAUAACAAAAUUGACUCCCAAAUUAAAGAAAAAUUUAGUGGUCCAGAAAUACUCUCAUUAAUCAUUCUGUAGAUCAAUGGAAAUCAAAAAUCAUGAAUUAGUCCUGUCCUGUUCUUCCCCUAAGCCACGGCUUAAAAAUCAGGAGUCAUAUUUUUGUGGUUAAAUCAGUCUGAAUUAUUUUGUUCACUUUGUGGUAACUGGAGUCUGCAUCUCAUAGCUGGAUCAUGUUUUCAAUUAUGAUUUAAAGUUCCCACAACAUCUGCAGAGUUCUUGUUUAAGGAAAGCCAAGAUUCUCCCACACCUGACCCAUUGUGGGUAAAGAAAUGAAUUUUGUUACUUUGCUAAAAGUGCAGGUGUUGGCAACUGUGAAUACAGGUGGUAUGUUUCAAAGAGGACAGUAAUCUACAGAAUCAAGUAAUACACUGGACUGAUAGUGAAAUUUUAUCUUCACAUGCCUUUGAGUUACUUUUUUGUUUCCUAAAGCAUCUUGCCAGAUAAAUACUCUUUUUUUCCCCUUUGUAUUUCAGAUUUUGCAUCCUAAAUAUUGCUUCUACUGCUG
This 902-nucleotide long non-coding RNA is filed under the name Parus major (Great Tit). RNAcentral's name for it is "lncRNA (ENSPMJG00000003218.1)". Lineage: Eukaryota; Metazoa; Chordata; Aves; Passeriformes; Paridae. The record is from RNAcentral.